CCUACGGGUGGCAUCAGUGAGGAAUAUUGGUCAAUGGCCGUAAGGCUGAACCAGCCAAGUCGCGUGAAGGAUGAAGGCUCUAUGGGUUGUAAACUGCUUUUAUAGGGGGAUAAAAGUCGCCACGUGUGGAUAUUUGCAUGUACCCUAUGAAUAAGCACCGGCUAACUCCGUGCCAGCAGCCGCGGUAAUACGGAGGAUGCGAGCGUUAUCCGGAUUUAUUGGGUUUAAAGGGUGCGUAGGUUGUUUUUUAAGUCAGCGGUGAAAGUUUGUGGCUCAACCAUAAAAUUGCCGUUGGAACUGGCAGACUUGAGUGUGUUUGACGUAGGCGGAAUGCGUGGUGUAGCGGUGAAAUGCAUAGAUAUCACGCAGAACUCCGAUUGCGAAGGCAGCAUACUAAGCCGUAACUGACACUGAAGCACGAAGGCGUGGGGAUCGAACAGGAUUAGAUACCCCUGUAGUC
This 460-nucleotide ribosomal RNA is filed under the name uncultured bacterium. RNAcentral describes it as "partial 16S ribosomal RNA". It matches the Rfam family "Bacterial small subunit ribosomal RNA", at positions 338 to 795 of the family's 1533-position model. The record is from RNAcentral.